GAUGAACGCUGGCGGCGUGCCUAAUACAUGCAAGUCGAGCGAACAGACGAGGAGCUUGCUCCUCUGACGUUAGCGGCGGACGGGUGAGUAACACGUGGAUAACCUACCUAUAAGACUGGGAUAACUUCGGGAAACCGGUGCUAAUACCGGAUAAUAUAUUGAACCGCAUGGUUCAAUAGUGAAAGACGGCUUUGCUGUCACUUAUAGAUGGAUCCGCGUCGCAUUAGAUAGUUGGUAAGGUAACGGCUUACCAAGGCGACGAUGCGUAGCCGACCUGAGAUGGUGAUCGGCCACACUGGAACUGAGACACGGUCCAGACUCCUACGGGAGGCAGCAGUAGGGAAUCUUCCGCAAUGGGCGAAAGCCUGACGGAGCAACGCCGCGUGAGUGAUGAAGGUCUUCGGAUCGUAAAACUCUGUUAUUAGGGAAGAACAAAUGUGGAAGUAACUAUGCACGUCUUGACGGUACCUAAUCAGAAAGCCACGGCUAACUACGUG
This 497-nucleotide ribosomal RNA is filed under the name uncultured bacterium. RNAcentral describes it as "partial 16S ribosomal RNA". It matches the Rfam family "Bacterial small subunit ribosomal RNA", at positions 28 to 507 of the family's 1533-position model. The record is from RNAcentral.